GAUUCCCUUAGUAACGGCGAGUGAACAGGGAUUAGCCCAGCACCGAAGCCUGUGGUUAUUUGACUACUAGGCAAUGUGGUGUUUAGAUUGGUUCUUGGCAUUUUUGCUUUGUCCCAAGUCCAUCAAUGAAUGUGGUUAAUGGACAGGCCCAAAGAGGGUGAAAGGCCCGUGGGGAUAAAGAUCAAGUGUGUCGAAAGUGCUUUGAAUCUUUCUUGGAGUCGGGUUGUUUGAGAAUGCAGCCCAAAGAGGGUGGUAGACUCCAUCCAAGGCUAAAUACUGGCACGAAUCCGAUAGCAAACAAGUACCGUGAGGGAAAGUUGAAAAGUACUUUGAAGAGAGAGUAAACAGUGCGUGAAACCGCUCAGAGGUAAACGGGUGGAGUUGAACUGGAAUCCUUGGCAAUUUAACUGAUGAGUAUGGCUUGUGCUUUUAUGGGCAUGGUGGCUAAUAUGCGAAGUCUGCUUAAUGACAGGCUUGGAUCCUUUUGGGGGUUCGAGUGCACGUUGCACUGGUCAGGUGUUGUGCGCUUCGUUUAAUUUGGGUCAGCUUGUCGGUGCAUUUUGUCAGGGUGAUCACCACGACCGGCGUGGUUGCCUGUUUGUUGUAACCAAACCGAUCAGAUCUGGUCAUUACGGCUAGUUUUGGUAGGGAUGGCAGGUAGCUUGCUUGCUUCUUUAUUGGAGUUGGUAAGUGUUAAUUAGCCGGUUGCAAUGAACUUGUGCAAUAUGUCGGAGAUGACGGCCGUGUAUGCUUUGUUUGACAGAUUUGAGCGGGUUUGAUUGGCAUGUACUUGUUAAGGCAGGUCGGUCGGUAGCUCGUUUGAGUUUGUUGAGUGAAUGCGUGCAACGAAUUGUGGCUUGGGCCUAUAGUCUGUGGUGUAGUGGUAGACUAUCCACCUGACCCGUCUUGAAACACGGACCAAGGAGUUUAACAUGUGCGCGAGUCAUUGGGCGUUACGAAACCCAAAGGCGUAAUGAAAGUAAAGGUUUAAACUAAGGUGAGAUCUUGUUGUGUCCAAUGAUCUAUGCAUUGGCAUGGCGAGCGCAUCACCAGCCCGUCUCAUGGUGUUGUCAUAGAGCUUGUCUUUGUGCGUCAUCGGGGCGGAGCCAGAGCGUACACGUUGAGACCCGAAAGAUGGUGAACUAUGCUUGCGUAGGUUGAAGCCAGAGGAAACUCUGGUGGAGGACCGUAGCGAUUCUGACGUGCAAAUCGAUCGUCAAACGUGGGUAUAGGGGCGAAAGACUAAUCGAACCAUCUAGUAGCUGGUUCCCUCCGAAGUUUCCCUCAGGAUAGCUGGCGCUUGUGUAUUAGAUAAACAGUUUUAUCCGGUAAAGCGAAUGAUUGGAGGUAUUGGGGAUAAAACAUCCUCAACCUAUUCUCAAACUUUAAAUGGGUGAGAAGCUUUGCUCGUUUAACUAGAGUAAGGCGUUGAAUGUGAGUGCCAAGUGGGCCAUUUUUGGUAAGCAGAACUGGCGCUGUGGGAUGAACCAAACGCUUGGUUAAGGUGCCUAACACAACGCUCAUGAGAUACCACAAAAGGUGUUGGUUGGUAUAGACAGCAGGACGGUGGCCAUGGAAGUCGGAAACCGCUAAGGAGUGUGUAACAACUCACUGCCGA
This 1618-nucleotide ribosomal RNA is filed under the name Psettarium sinense. RNAcentral's name for it is "partial 28S ribosomal RNA". It matches the Rfam family "Eukaryotic large subunit ribosomal RNA", at positions 73 to 1300 of the family's 3401-position model. The record is from RNAcentral. Lineage: Eukaryota; Metazoa; Platyhelminthes; Trematoda; Strigeidida; Aporocotylidae.